RNAcentral lists this ribosomal RNA (3203 nucleotides) under Acidobacteriota bacterium. Its description in RNAcentral is "bacterial LSU rRNA". It matches the Rfam family "Bacterial large subunit ribosomal RNA". Lineage: Bacteria; Pseudomonadati; Acidobacteriota. The record is from RNAcentral.
UUCUAUGGUCAAGCUACUAAGGGCAUGCGGUGGAUGCCUUGGCGCAGAGAGGCGAUGAAGGACGCAGCAAGCUGCGAUAAGCCCCGGUGAGCCGCAAGCAGGCCUCGACCCGGGGAUCUCCGAAUGGGGCAACCCGAUCCGAGUCAUGUCGGAUCACCCCCCUCCGAAUCCAAUAGGAGGACGGGAGCGAACGAGGGGAAGUGAACCAUCUCAGUACCCUCAGGAAGAGAAAGCAAGAGCGAUUUCCCUAGUAGCGGCGAGCGAAAGGGAAACAGCCAAAACCGGUGGUAUGCCAAGCUCGUGAGCGUUGUAUCGCCGGGGUAGCGGGAGCGUGCCGGGCCCCAUCACGAUGGGGCCGGGAAGUGAGAAACCGCCACGUUAGCCGAAGGAUCUGGAAAGUUCAGCGAUACAGGGUAACAGCCCCGUAGGCGAAAACGUGACGGCUUCCUGGGUGCGCCACCCAAGUACCACGGGACACGAGGAACCCUGUGGGAAUCUGCGAGGACCAUCUCGCAAGGCUAAAUACUCCUCCGCGACCGAUAGUGAACCAGUACCGUGAGGGAAAGGUGAAAAGAACCCCUGUUAGGGGAGUGAAAUAGUACCUGAAACCGCAUGUCUACAAGCAGUGGAAGGGCUAUGCCCGUCCAGCGAUGGAUGGGAAUGCCCGACCGCGUGCCUUUUGCAUAAUGAGCCGGCUAGUUAUUCUGCGUGGCAAGGCUAAGCGAUAAGCGGAUGAGCUGAGGGUAGGGGUGAAAGGCUAAUCAAACUCAGUUAUAGCUCGUUCUCCCCGAAAUAUCUUUAGGGAUAGCCUCGAGUGUUUGUUGACGGCGGUAGAGUACUCGAUGGACUAGGGGCCUUACCAGGUUGCUGAAUCCAACGAAACUCCGAAUUCCGUCAACCCACAGCUCGGGAGUCAGACUGCGGGGGAUAAGCUCCGUGGUCGAGAGGGGAACAACCCAGACCGCCAGCUAAGGUCCCAAAAUGCAGGCUAAGUGGGAAAGGAUGUGGGGUUGCCGUGACAACCAGGAGGUUGGCUUAGAAGCAGCCAUCCUUUAAAGAAAGCGUAACAGCUCACUGGUCAAGCGACUCUGUGCCGACAAUGUAACGGGGCUUAAGCCUGCUACCGAAGCUGCGGACACGCUGGCUCUCCGGAGCCGGCGUUUGGUAGGGGAGCAUUCCGUGAGAGACACGAGCCGGAUCGACAAGGACCGGUGCUGGCUCACGGAAGAGACUCUGCCGGCACAAGUAGCGAUAAAGUCCGCGAGAAUCGGACUCGCCGAAAGUCUAAGGUUUCCUGAGGAAGGUUCGUCCGCUCAGGGUUAGUCGGUCCCUAAGCCGAGGCCGAAAGGCGUAGGCGAUGGACGGCAGGUCAACAUUCCUGCACCAGUCAGUGCACGUUAUCACGAUGGGGUGACGCAGAAGGCUAGGCAUACGGGGUGAUGGACGUCCCCGGCCGCGAUCGUAGGGGGCCUUCCUAGGCAAAUCCGGGAAGGCAUCAACUCCGAGGAAAGCGGGGAAGUGCGGCUUCGGCCAAACCAACUUGCCGACGCCAUGCUGCCGAGAAAAACCUCUAAGGAGCGCAUUGGCUGACCGUACCGCAAACCGUCACAGGUAGACAGGGAGAGAAUCCCUAGGCGCGUGAGAGAACCCUCGCUAAGGAACUCGGCAAAAUAGCCCCGUAACUUCGGGAUAAGGGGUGCCCCACUAGAGUAAGGAGGUUCGCCCUCCGAGCUCGAAGGGGUCGCAGUGAAUUGGCCCAGGCGACUGUUUACUAAAAACACAGGACUCUGCGAAGUAAAAAAGACGACGUAUAGGGUCUGACGCCUGCCCGGUGCCGGAAGGUUAAGAGGAGGGGUUAGCCGCAAGGCGAAGCUCUGAAUCGAAGCCCCGGUAAACGGCGGCCGUAACUAUAACGGUCCUAAGGUGGUAUCCGCUGCCUUAGUAAAAUCCGGCUAAAUGCUGGAAUAUCUGAGAAUCUCACGCUACGACUAGCGAGGUGAUCGCCAGUCGUGACAAUGCGAUGAGUGCAGACAAUCAGCAGGAAAGGCUAAUCAGUCCGUGGGUGAACCGCCAAGAACCCAGGACAGAGCUGGUUAGAAUCCUCAGAGACUACACGCCGGACAUCCGAGACAUCGGAUGAAGAUAUAGUCCCGACUGCAUGGCGACAUGCAGGGAUGCCGAACCCGACGCGGCAUCCGCUCAAUAGCAACGAUUGAGUAAGACAUCAAGCGAAAUUCCUUGUCGGGUAAGUUCCGACCUGCACGAAUGGCGUAACGAUCUGGGCGCUGUCUCGGCGAGGGGCUCAGCGAAUCUGUAGCACCUGUGAAGAUGCAGGUUACCCGUGGCUAGACGGAAAGACCCCGUGCACCUUUACUACAACUUAGCGUUGGAUUUCGGUGCUGUCUGCGCAGAAUAGGUGGGAGGCUGUGAAGCGUGGGUUUCGGCCUGCGUGGAGCCAACAGUGAGAUACCACCCUUACGGCUCUGAGGUUCUAACCUGGGACCGUGAAUCCGGUCCAGGGACAACGUUAGGCGGGUAGUUUGACUGGGGCGGUCGCCUCCUAAAGUGUAACGGAGGCGCCCGAAGGUUCCCUCAGGCUGUUUGGAAAUCAGCCGAAGAGUGCAAAGGCAAAAGGGAGCUUGACUGCGAGACCUACAAGUCGAGCAGGUGCGAAAGCAGGGCUUAGUGAUCCGGCGGUCCCGCAUGGAAGGGCCGUCGCUCAACGGAUAAAAGGUACGCCGGGGAUAACAGGCUUAUCCUCCCCAAGAGUUCACAUCGACGGCAAGGUUUGGCACCUCGAUGUCGGCUCAUCGCAUCCUGGGGCUGAAGUAGGUCCCAAGGGUUCGGCUGUUCGCCGAUUAAAGCGGUACGUGAGCUGGGUUUAGAACGUCGUGAGACAGUUCGGUCCCUAUCUGCCAUGGGCGCAGGAUACUUGAGAGGAGCCUUUCCUAGUACGAGAGGACCGGAAAGGACGAACCGCCAGUGUUCCGGUUGUCCCGCCAGGGGCAGCGCCGGGUAGCUGUGUUCGGAAAGGAUAAGCGCUGAAGGCAUAUAAGCGCGAAGCCCCCCUCGAGAUGAGGUAUCCCCCACCGCAAGGUGGCUAAAGGACCCUGGGAGACGACCAGGUUGAUAGGCCGGGUGUGUAAGCGCGGCGACGCGUUGAGCUUACCGGUACUAAUCGUCCGUGAGGCUUGACCAUAGAU